CUUAGAGUCAAGUGCUCUACCACUGAGCUAAAUCCCUAGGCCCUAGAACACCUUCUAGAUUUGUCAGUUUCCUUCUCUCUUACACACAGAGUUGGGAUUUGGGCUGUGAUUGCUUUAUAUCUGUGGAUUAACUGGGGAUAACUGACAUCUUUACAAUGCUGUUUUCUAAUACAAAUGUUGAGUUCUUUUAUUUAGAUCUUUAAAAGCAUUUCUCUCCAAAUAGUUUUUUAGUUUUUGGUGUGGAAAUAUAGCAUGUUUCAUAAGUAUCCCCAGGUAUUUGACUUUUGAUGCUGUUAUGAAUAUAAUCCUUUCUUCUUUCCUCCCUCUCUCCCUUCGUUUCUUUUACUUUGAUUGCUUGCUACUCUACAGAAAUAAAUUUGAUUUUUUUUGUGUUGACGGACCUUUAUUUUAUUCACUUAUCUAUUUAUAUGUGGUGCUGAGAAUUGAACCUGGUGCUUCACACAUGUGAGGCAAGCGCUCUACCACUGAGCCACAACCCCAGUCCCUAAGUUUUAUUUAAAAAAAUUUUUUUAGAUGUAGUUGGAAACAAUUUUUAUGUGUUGCUGAGGAUCGAACCCAGUGCCUCACAUGUACGAGGUGGGUGCUCCACCACUGAGCUAAAGCCCCA
This 628-nucleotide long non-coding RNA is filed under the name Marmota monax (woodchuck). Lineage: Eukaryota; Metazoa; Chordata; Mammalia; Rodentia; Sciuridae. The record is from RNAcentral.